GAAGUUUUAAGUUAAUAAUAAACUAUAAAUUUUCAAAAUUUAUAAUAGAAAUAAUUUUCUAAAUUUCG
RNAcentral lists this transfer RNA (68 nucleotides) under Amaga expatria. Its description in RNAcentral is "tRNA-Trp". Lineage: Eukaryota; Metazoa; Platyhelminthes; Tricladida; Geoplanidae. The record is from RNAcentral.